Molecule: ribosomal RNA, 253 nt
Filed under: uncultured bacterium
Lineage: Bacteria
Description: partial 16S ribosomal RNA
Rfam family: Bacterial small subunit ribosomal RNA
Source: RNAcentral
UACGUAGGGUGCGAGCGUUGUCCGGAAUUAUUGGGCGUAAAGGGCUCGUAGGCGGUCUGUUGCGUCAGGAGUGAAAACUCGGGGCUUAACCCCGAGCCUGCUUCUGAUACGGGCAGACUAGAGGUAUGCAGGGGAGAACGGAAUUCCUGGUGUAGCGGUGAAAUGCGCAGAUAUCAGGAGGAACACCGGUGGCGAAGGCGGUUCUCUGGGCAUUACCUAACGCUGAGGAGCGAAAGUGUGGGGAGCGAACAGG